GACGAACGCUGGCGGCGUGCUUAACACAUGCAAGUCGAACGGAAAGGCCCUGCUUUUGUGGGGUGCUCGAGUGGCGAACGGGUGAGUAACACGUGAGUAACCUGCCCUUGACUUUGGGAUAACUUCAGGAAACUGGGGCUAAUACCGGAUAGGAGCUCCUGCUGCAUGGCGGGGGUUGGAAAGUUUCGGCGGUUGGGGAUGGACUCGCGGCUUAUCAGCUUGUUGGUGGGGUAGUGGCUUACCAAGGCUUUGACGGGUAGCCGGCCUGAGAGGGUGACCGGCCACAUUGGGACUGAGAUACGGCCCAGACUCCUACGGGAGGCAGCAGUGGGGAAUAUUGCACAAUGGGCGGAAGCCUGAUGCAGCAACGCCGCGUGCGGGAUGACGGCCUUCGGGGUGUAAACCGCUUUCGCCUGUGACGAAGCGUGAGUGACGGUAAUGGGUAAAGAAGCACCGGCUAACUACG
RNAcentral lists this ribosomal RNA (466 nucleotides) under uncultured bacterium. RNAcentral's name for it is "partial 16S ribosomal RNA". It matches the Rfam family "Bacterial small subunit ribosomal RNA", at positions 28 to 505 of the family's 1533-position model. The record is from RNAcentral.